RNAcentral lists this ribosomal RNA (198 nucleotides) under uncultured bacterium. RNAcentral describes it as "partial 16S ribosomal RNA". It matches the Rfam family "Bacterial small subunit ribosomal RNA", at positions 1303 to 1500 of the family's 1533-position model. The record is from RNAcentral.
GUCUGCAACCCGACUACAUGAAGCUGGAAUCGCUAGUAAUCGCGAAUCAGAAUGUCGCGGUGAAUACGUUCCCGGGUCUUGUACACACCGCCCGUCACACCAUGGGAGUCGGAAAUGCCCGAAGUCAGUGACCCAACCGUAAGGAGGGAGCUGCCGAAGGUGGAGCCGGUAACUGGGGUGAAGUCGUAACAAGGUACC